RNAcentral lists this ribosomal RNA (93 nucleotides) under Streptomyces mobaraensis. The record is from RNAcentral. Lineage: Bacteria; Bacillati; Actinomycetota; Actinomycetes; Kitasatosporales; Streptomycetaceae.
UUCGGUGGUCAUAGCGUUAGGGAAACGCCCGGUUACAUUCCGAACCCGGAAGCUAAGCCUUUCAGCGCCGAUGGUACUGCAUGGGGGACCGUG